Molecule: non-coding RNA, 21 nt
Filed under: Arabidopsis thaliana (thale cress)
Lineage: Eukaryota; Viridiplantae; Streptophyta; Magnoliopsida; Brassicales; Brassicaceae
Source: RNAcentral
ACUGGUCAGUCCGGAUUUCGC